UACGUAGGGUGCGAGCGUUGUCCGGAAUUAUUGGGCGUAAAGAGCUCGUAGGCGGUGUGUCACGUCGGCCGUGAAAACCUGGGGCUCAACUCUGGGCGUGCGGUCGAUACGGGCAUCACUAGAGUUCGGUAGGGGAGACUGGAAUUCCUGGUGUAGCGGUGAAAUGCGCAGAUAUCAGGAGGAACACCGGUGGCGAAGGCGGGUCUCUGGGCCGAUACUGACGCUGAGGAGCGAAAGUGUGGGGAGCGAACAGG
This 254-nucleotide ribosomal RNA is filed under the name uncultured bacterium. RNAcentral describes it as "partial 16S ribosomal RNA". It matches the Rfam family "Bacterial small subunit ribosomal RNA", at positions 524 to 776 of the family's 1533-position model. The record is from RNAcentral.